GCUCCGGGGGAGAAACAGACGGGCCUGA
RNAcentral lists this non-coding RNA (28 nucleotides) under Bombyx mori (domestic silkworm). Lineage: Eukaryota; Metazoa; Arthropoda; Insecta; Lepidoptera; Bombycidae. The record is from RNAcentral.